Molecule: unclassified non-coding RNA, 379 nt
Filed under: uncultured Pseudomonadota bacterium
Lineage: Bacteria; Pseudomonadati; Pseudomonadota
Description: uncultured proteobacterium contains 16S-23S intergenic spacer region
Source: RNAcentral
UCCGGUUUGUCACCGGCAGUCUCAUUAGGGUGCCCAACUGAAUGUAGCAACUAAUGACAAGGGUUGCGCUCGUUGCGGGACUUAACCCAACAUCUCACGACACGAGCUGACGACAGCCAUGCAGCACCUGAGCAGGAUGGUAUUGCUACCUCGUUGGGCUUUCACCCUUCUACUACCUGCAUGUCUAGCCUGGGUAAGGUUCUGCGCGUUGCUUCGAAUUAAACCACAUAAUCCACCGCUUGUGCGGGCUCCCGUCAAUUCCUUUGAGUUUUAGUCUUGCGACCGUACUUCCCAGGCGGGGUACUUAUCGCGUUAGCUCCGGAUCGGCAGGGGUCAACUCCCACCAAUCCUAGUACCCAUCGUUUACAGCGUGGACUAC